RNAcentral lists this transfer RNA (65 nucleotides) under Mesabolivar sp. ITV1036I1. RNAcentral's name for it is "tRNA-Lys". RNAcentral also lists the same sequence under 1 other name. Lineage: Eukaryota; Metazoa; Arthropoda; Arachnida; Araneae; Pholcidae. The record is from RNAcentral.
UUUUAAGUGGCCGAUUUAGGUAUUAAUUUCUUAAAUUAAGUAUGAUAAGAGGUUUAUAGUUUAUA